Small nucleolar RNA from Pipistrellus kuhlii (Kuhl's pipistrelle), 142 nucleotides. RefSeq annotates it as small nucleolar RNA SNORA61. Lineage: Eukaryota; Metazoa; Chordata; Mammalia; Chiroptera; Vespertilionidae. The transcript has a single exon. The record is from RefSeq and is a predicted model, not a curated record.
UGCCUGCAGGUUCCCUUUCCCAUUGGAUCUGAACACCAAUUUUGGUGGUUGGUUGGUUAUUAAAGGAGGAAAAGUAAAACUGAAGCUGCCCUCAUAGUGCAUGUAGUCUUAUCUAUAGCAUGUGGACUAGUUUCAAAUAAAA